UAGGGAAUCUUCGGCAAUGGACGGAAGUCUGACCGAGCAACGCCGCGUGAGUGAAGAAGGUUUUCGGAUCGUAAAGCUCUGUUGUAAGAGAAGAACGAGUGUGAGAGUGGAAAGUUCACACUGUGACGGUAUCUUACCAGAAAGGGACGGCUAACUACGUGCCAGCAGCCGCGGUAAUACGUAGGUCCCGAGCGUUGUCCGGAUUUAUUGGGCGUAAAGCGAGCGCAGGCGGUUAGAUAAGUCUGAAGUUAAAGGCUGUGGCUUAACCAUAGUACGCUUUGGAAACUGUUUAACUUGAGUGCAAGAGGGGAGAGUGGAAUUCCAUGUGUAGCGGUGAAAUGCGUAGAUAUAUGGAGGAACACCGGUGGCGAAAGCGGCUCUCUGGCUUGUAACUGGCGCUGAGGCUCGAAAGCGUGGGGAGCAAACAGGAUUAGAUACCCUGGUAGUCCACGCCGUAAACGAUGAGUGCUAGGUGUUAGACCCUUUCCGGGGUUUAGUGCCGUAGCUAACGCAUUAAGCACUCCGCCUGGGGAGUACGACCGCAAGGUUGA
This 551-nucleotide ribosomal RNA is filed under the name uncultured bacterium. RNAcentral describes it as "bacterial SSU rRNA". It matches the Rfam family "Bacterial small subunit ribosomal RNA", at positions 355 to 897 of the family's 1533-position model. The record is from RNAcentral.